UCUGAAUAUGGGGGGACCAUCCUCCAAGGCUAAAUACUCCUGACUGACCGAUAGUGAACCAGUACCGUGAGGGAAAGGCGAAAAGAACCCCGGCGAGGGGAGUGAAAAAGAACCUGAAACCGUGUACGUACAAGCAGUGGGAGCACGCUUAGGCGUGUGACUGCGUACCUUUUGUAUAAUGGGUCAGCGACUUAUAUUCUGUAGCAAGGUUAACCGAAUAGGGGAGCCGAAGGGAAACCGAGUCUUAACUGGGCGUUAAGUUGCAGGGUAUAGACCCGAAACCCGGUGAUCUAGCCAUGGGCAGGUUGAAGGUUGGGUAACACUAACUGGAGGACCGAACCGACUAAUGUUGAAAAAUUAGCGGAUGACUUGUGGCUGGGGGUGAAAGGCCAAUCAAACCGGGAGAUAGCUGGUUCUCCCCGAAAGCUAUUUAGGUAGCGCCUCGUGAAUUCAUCUCCGGGGGUAGAGCACUGUUUCGGCAAGGGGGUCAUCCCGACUUACCAACCCGAUGCAAACUGCGAAUACCGGAGAAUGUUAUCACGGGAGACACACGGCGGGUGCUAACGUCCGUCGUGAAGAGGGAAACAACCCAGACCGCCAGCUAAGGUCCCAAAGUCAUGGUUAAGUGGGAAACGAUGUGGGAAGGCCCAGACAGCCAGGAUGUUGGCUUAGAAGCAGCCAUCAUUUAAAGAAAGCGUAAUAGCUCACUGGUCGAGUCGGCCUGCGCGGAAGAUGUAACGGGGCUAAACCAUGCACCGAAGCUGCGGCAGCGACGCUGAUGCGUUGUUGGGUAGGGGAGCGUUCUGUAAGCCUGCGAAGGUGUGCUGUGAGGCAUGCUGGAGGUAUCAGAAGUGCGAAUGCUGACAUAAGUAACGAUAAAGCGGGUGAAAAGCCCGCUCGCCGGAAGACCAAGGGUUCCUGUCCAACGUUAAUCGGGGCAGGGUGAGUCGACCCCUAAGGCGAGGCCGAAAGGCGUAGUCGAUGGGAAACAGGUUAAUAUUCCUGUACUUGGUGUUACUGCGAAGGGGGGACGGAGAAGGCUAUGUUGGCCGGGCGACGGUUGUCCCGGUUUAAGCGUGUAGGCUGGUUUUCCAGGCAAAUCCGGAAAAUCAAGGCUGAGGCGUGAUGACGAGGCACUGCGGUGCUGAAGCAACAAAUGCCCUGCUUCCAGGAAAAGCCUCUAAGCAUCAGGUAACAUCAAAUCGUACCCCAAACCGACACAGGUGGUCAGGUAGAGAAUACCAAGGCGCUUGAGAGAACUCGGGUGAAGGAACUAGGCAAAAUGGUGCCGUAACUUCGGGAGAAGGCACGCUGAUAUGUAGGUGAAGUCCCUCGCGGAUGGAGCUGAAAUCAGUCGAAGAUACCAGCUGGCUGCAACUGUUUAUUAAAAACACAGCACUGUGCAAACACGAAAGUGGACGUAUACGGUGUGACGCCUGCCCGGUGCCGGAAGGUUAAUUGAUGGGGUUAGCGCAAGCGAAGCUCUUGAUCGAAGCCCCGGUAAACGGCGGCCGUAACUAUAACGGUCCUAAGGUAGCGAAAUUCCUUGUCGGGUAAGUUCCGACCUGCACGAAUGGCGUAAUGAUGGCCAGGCUGUCUCCACCCGAGACUCAGUGAAAUUGAACUCGCUGUGAAGAUGCAGUGUACCCGCGGCAAGACGGAAAGACCCCGUGAACCUUUACUAUAGCUUGACACUGAACAUUGAGCCUUGAUGUGUAGGAUAGGUGGGAGGCUUUGAAGUGUGGACGCCAGUCUGCAUGGAGCCGACCUUGAAAUACCACCCUUUAAUGUUUGAUGUUCUAACGUUGACCCGUAAUCCGGGUUGCGGACAGUGUCUGGUGGGUAGUUUGACUGGGGCGGUCUCCUCCUAAAGAGUAACGGAGGAGCACGAAGGUUGGCUAAUCCUGGUCGGACAUCAGGAGGUUAGUGCAAUGGCAUAAGCCAGCUUGACUGCGAGCGUGACGGCGCGAGCAGGUGCGAAAGCAGGUCAUAGUGAUCCGGUGGUUCUGAAUGGAAGGGCCAUCGCUCAACGGAUAAAAGGUACUCCGGGGAUAA
Molecule: ribosomal RNA, 2055 nt
Filed under: Escherichia coli
Lineage: Bacteria; Pseudomonadati; Pseudomonadota; Gammaproteobacteria; Enterobacterales; Enterobacteriaceae
Description: partial 23S ribosomal RNA
Rfam family: Bacterial large subunit ribosomal RNA
Source: RNAcentral